UAGCGCCUGGGAAACGGGUGGAAAACUGUCUAACAUCGAAAAUGGGAAAUCCAAGCAAGUUUUUGUUUUCGAUCUGUGCUAAUCUAGAAAUGAAGCGAUGCAUGGAAAUUGCCGAGCACCUUGGCACUGUGUCAUUGAGCUGUUGCCAAAGAUGCUUGGGCUAAAUGUCUUUUUUUUUUAUUGGCAUUCAUAUUUUACGUAGUUAAACAAUAAAUUGCAACAAAAUGUAUAAUAAUAGUUGGCCAUUCGUUGGCAAUAUUGAUGGCUAUUUCUUUUGUACAAAAGUUGGUCAAUUUGCAGGCGAAGAGAGAGAGAGAGAGAGAGACAGAUAGCUUUUCACUAAAUCUAAUAUAUAUGCAUAGAGUGUAUAAUUUGAGCUUAAGUAUAACUGGAAAAUAAUUCAAAAUGGAAAUGGAUGCAAGCUCCAUCUGGGUGGGGCGUUAAAUGCAAUUAGCUGCAGCUACAUUAUUUGUGACAGGCUUUAUACUGCAAAGUUAUAUUAUUAUUCGAGCUAUGCGAGUAAAUUGUCUA
Molecule: non-coding RNA, 531 nt
Organism: Drosophila virilis
Lineage: Eukaryota; Metazoa; Arthropoda; Insecta; Diptera; Drosophilidae
Source: RefSeq, a predicted model, not a curated record